Erythranthe guttata (spotted monkey flower) is the source of this 460-nucleotide long non-coding RNA. RefSeq lists it as uncharacterized. The record is from RefSeq and is a predicted model, not a curated record. NCBI's taxonomy places the organism in Eukaryota, Viridiplantae, Streptophyta, Magnoliopsida, Lamiales, Phrymaceae.
UACCAUAGCUCUGCAUCAUGAAAAAUCGAGCGAUAAUUUCAUGGGCGCUCUUGCUGAUGAUUAUGGCCAUUGCUUUCGUCGUUAAAGGAGAUCAUAUGAACUUUAUUCACGAAGACCAUAGUAAAGUAAGUGGAGAAGGCGAGCAGCAGCAGAAAAGAAUUGUUGUUGUUGUUCAUCAGAAAAGAGGAGCUUCUGCCGGAAACUCCGAUAUUUCGAAGAAGCCCCCGAACCGAAGUGGAUCGACUAUUAUUAAUAAUAAUUUGACAUCAACUUCUUUUUUUCUAGUUAUCUUUUUCUCUUUCUCUCUGUGUGUGUUUCAGUGUGUGUAUGGUUAUUAGUUCCUUCUGUAUCACUAGGUUGAAUUUGUGGAUCACUUUUCAAUCUAAAGUGUAUGUGUAACUUUUAUUUCGGUCACUAGUUAAUGAAAUUUUUGCAGGUUUCCGAGUUUUUUUGCUUCUUU